GACGAACGCUGGUGGCGUGCUUAACACAUGCAAGUCGAACGGGAUUUCGUAAACAGAAGCCUCGGUGGAAGAUUACUAAUGAGAGUGGCGAACGGGUGAGUAACGCGUGAGCAACCUGCCUAUGACAGUGGGAAAGCCUCGGGAAACCGGGAUUAAUACCGCAUAAAAUCGUAGAAACACAUGUUUUAACGGUCAAAGAUUUAUCGGUCAUAGAUGGGCUCGCGUCUGAUUAGCUAGUUGGUGAGAUAACAGCCCACCAAGGCGACGAUCAGUAGCCGGUCUGAGAGGAUGAACGGCCACAUUGGAACUGAGACACGGUCCAAACUCCUACGGGAGGCAGCAGUGGGGAAUAUUGCACAAUGGGGGAAACCCUGAUGCAGCGACGCCGCGUGAACGAAGAAGGUAUUCGUAUCGUAAAGUUCUGUCCUAUGGGAAGAUAAUGACAGUACCAUAGAAGAAAGCUCCGGCUAAAUACGUG
RNAcentral lists this ribosomal RNA (478 nucleotides) under uncultured bacterium. Its description in RNAcentral is "partial 16S ribosomal RNA". It matches the Rfam family "Bacterial small subunit ribosomal RNA", at positions 28 to 507 of the family's 1533-position model. The record is from RNAcentral.